RNAcentral lists this non-coding RNA (48 nucleotides) under Schistosoma margrebowiei. Lineage: Eukaryota; Metazoa; Platyhelminthes; Trematoda; Strigeidida; Schistosomatidae. The record is from RNAcentral.
AUCCGGUUGAUGAGUCCCAAAUAGGACGAAGUGUCACGCAUUCCGGAU